UACGUAGGGGGCAAGCGUUGUCCGGAAUUAUUGGGCGUAAAGGGCACGCAGGCGGUUCCUUAAGUCUGAUGUGAAAGCCCGUGGCUCAACCACGGAGGGCCAUUGGAAACUGGAAUACUUGAAUGCAGAAGAGGAAAGUGGAAUUCCAUGUGUAGCGGUGAAAUGCGUAGAUAUAUGGAGGAACACCAGUGGCGAAGGCGACUCUCUGGUCGGUUUCUGACGCUGAGGUGCGAAAGCGUGGGUAGCAAACAGG
RNAcentral lists this unclassified non-coding RNA (253 nucleotides) under uncultured Bacillaceae bacterium. Its description in RNAcentral is "contains 16S-23S intergenic spacer region". It matches the Rfam family "Bacterial small subunit ribosomal RNA", at positions 524 to 776 of the family's 1533-position model. The record is from RNAcentral. Lineage: Bacteria; Bacillati; Bacillota; Bacilli; Caryophanales; Bacillaceae.